UGUAAGGGACAGGGGGGACAGUAUGGGAGUGAGAAUGUUGGCAUGAGUAGCGAGAUGUGGGUGAGAAUCCCACAGGCCGUAAACCCAAGGUUUCCAGGGGAAGGUUCGUCCGCCCUGGGUUAGUCGGGACCUAAGCUGAGGCCGAAAGGCGUAGGUGAUGGACAACAGGUUGAUAUUCCUGUACUACCGAUAACCGUUUGAGAGAUGGGAUGACACAGUAGGAUAAGCUAAGCACACUGUUGGUUAUGUGUGCCCAAGCAUUGAGGCAGUCAAAGUAGGUAAAUCCGCUUUGAUAAUGCUGGGAUGUGAUGGGGAGCGAAAUUUAGUAGCGAAGUAGCUGAUUUCACACUGUCAAGAAAAGUCUCUAUCGAGGUUAAAGGUACCCGUACCGCAAACCGACACAGGUGGGUGAGGAGAGUAUCCUAAGGCCAGCGAGAGAACUGUUGUUAAGGAACUCGGCAAAAUGACCCCGUAACUUAGGGAUAAGGGGUGCCACCAUCAGGUGGCCGCAGAGAAUAGGCCCAAGCGACUGUUUACCAAAAACAUAGGUUUCUGCUAAGUCGCAAGACGAUGUAUAGGAGCUGACGCCUGCCCGGUGCUGGAAGGUUAAGGGGAUCUGUUAGAGCAAUCGAAGCAGUGAACUUAAGCC
Molecule: ribosomal RNA, 649 nt
Filed under: Clostridioides difficile
Lineage: Bacteria; Bacillati; Bacillota; Clostridia; Peptostreptococcales; Peptostreptococcaceae
Description: bacterial LSU rRNA
Rfam family: Bacterial large subunit ribosomal RNA
Source: RNAcentral